UGGGGAAUAUUGCACAAUGGGGGAAACCCUGAUGCAGCAACGCCGCGUGAGGGAUGAAGGUUUUCGGAUUGUAAACCUCUAUCGAUGGGGAUAAAUAAUGAUAGUACCCAAGUAAGAAGCGCCAGCUAACUACGUGCCAGCAGCUGCGGUAAUACGUAGGGUGCAAGCGUUAUCCGGAAUUACUGGGUGUAAAGGGUGAGUAGGCGGCUGAUUAAGUCAUAUGUGAAAUCCCGAUGCUUAACGUCGGGACUGCAUAAGAAACUGGUUGGCUAGAGUGCAGGAGAGGUAAGCGGAAUUCCUAGUGUAGCGGUGAAAUGCGUAGAUAUUAGGAAGAACACCAGUGGCGAAGGCGGCUUACUGGACUGUAACUGACGCUGAUUCACGAAAGCGUGGGGAGCGAACA
RNAcentral lists this ribosomal RNA (403 nucleotides) under uncultured Eubacteriales bacterium. RNAcentral describes it as "uncultured Clostridiales bacterium partial 16S ribosomal RNA". It matches the Rfam family "Bacterial small subunit ribosomal RNA", at positions 355 to 774 of the family's 1533-position model. The record is from RNAcentral. Lineage: Bacteria; Bacillati; Bacillota; Clostridia; Eubacteriales.